Molecule: ribosomal RNA, 372 nt
Filed under: uncultured organism
Description: bacterial SSU rRNA
Rfam family: Bacterial small subunit ribosomal RNA
Source: RNAcentral
CAGAGGUGGCAAGCGUUGUUCGGAAUUACUGGGCGUAAAGGGCGAGUAGGCGGCCUUCUAAGUCAGACGUGAAAUCCCCCGGCUUAACCUGGGAACUGCGUCUGAUACUGGGAGGCUCGAGUAUGGGAGAGGGAGGUAGAAUUCCAGGUGUAGCGGUGAAAUGCGUAGAUAUCUGGAGGAAUACCGGUGGCGAAGGCGGCCUCCUGGACCAUAACUGACGCUGAUCCGCGAAAGCUAGGGGAGCAAACGGGAUUAGAUACCCCGGUAGUCCUAGCCCUAAACGAUGAAUACUUGGUGUGGCGGGUAUCGAUCCCUGCCGUGCCGAAGCUAACGCAUUAAGUAUUCCGCCUGGGGAGUACGGUCGCAAGGCUG